AGUAGAGAUGGGGUUUCACCAUGUUGGUCAGGCUGGUCUCAAACUCCUGACCUCAGGUGAUCCACCCACC
Aotus nancymaae (Ma's night monkey) is the source of this 70-nucleotide microRNA precursor. NCBI's taxonomy places the organism in Eukaryota, Metazoa, Chordata, Mammalia, Primates, Aotidae. The record is from Ensembl.